This 3456-nucleotide unclassified non-coding RNA is filed under the name Hevea brasiliensis (rubber tree). Lineage: Eukaryota; Viridiplantae; Streptophyta; Magnoliopsida; Malpighiales; Euphorbiaceae. The record is from RNAcentral.
GCUGCUGCUGCUGCUGCUGAGCAUUUUCUACACCGUGCCUUAACCCAAGUGUAAGUGAAACGGCUCCUAGGCCUCCAAUGUCAAUUCCAGCUCUCUGGUAUGGCAGAAAAUUCAUCACUGAUCCAUCCAUGCUAGUUGGAACAUGAACCUCCAUUCUUGUUCGUUUCUCCUGACUCCACUGCCCUUCAUCCAGUUUUUCUCCGCUGCCCGCCGAGGAGCCUGUACCCUCCAAUUGCUUAUUAAGUAUGGAGCUUGGACCUGUAUUAUUUGGGGGUUGCUCGUGACUUGGCUGGCUAGUACCCUCAGGACAUUUUCCUUCAAGGUUAUUCACACAAGUUCGAUUUUCUGCCCAACCUUUGGUUUCAAGCAUGUGCAUAUCUUCAACCAUAGGUUUCCAAACCCGUACCCGGGCAUUUAUAAACCAGUUUGAGACCUACAUUAAUCAUUUAUUUUAUUAAAACCACAAAAAAAUUGAUAAAUUAUCAUCUAGGGUGUUCUAUUUCCCUAGCAUUUCCAUGUCACUGCCAAAUUAACAGCAUGCACUAGCAUCUACGUACACUACUUGACGAGAAGCUAUACCGUGUACAUCACAUCAAAUUCAAGCUCUUAAAAAGCAAGAAAUUUUAAACAUCUAUGAAUAAAGAAAACUCAUGCUAGGGAAGAGAAAAGUAGUAAGUUUGGCCCACCCGCAGGGCUCAAAGCAAAUCAGUGUGAGAAUGACCAUUCUAAUAGCUUAGUUCAAUCAUUUAAAUCACCGCAGGGUACAUAAUGAUGAAAGAAAUAUAAAAGUAGCUGACUAGCCUGGUUUCGAGAUAGCCCAGUUUGAGUGGCCAACAUGUGCUUAUCCGUGUCCGUGGGGUACCUAAAGGAGGAAAUGUUGAGAAAUUGAAUUAUACACAGAACAGGAGGGAGAGGCGAGGGAAUUGAAGGAAGGUGGGACUCACGGAUGAAGAAAAUGCUCAAACAGCCAAGCUCUAAGAAUCGCCACUGAACGUUCUGGUAGACCCCUUUGGGGCCUCCAGACGUGUUGUUGGGGUUCAAAUAAGCCCACAUUAGCCCCACCAGAUUUGUUCCUCUGAAAGCCUUGAUCCAUGAAUCUCAGCCUUGAUGUACUCAUAUCACCUUUGCUACUGCUAGCACCUGUAUUUGGGGACAACAAAUCUUCCCCUAGGGACUUUGUUACAUGCUUGAGCUGAUCUGAUAUAGCAUGUUUUAGGGACCUAAAAUUCCUUGAUAUUGUCUUGAGAGCCAAAGAAAGGUAAGGGGUAGCAGCACUGAGGCCUGCAACUGAUUCAAAGGAUGAAGCCACCAUCUGCAUCUGCUGGUGGUAUUGCUUAUACCUUCUGCACACCUCCUCCUGCAAAUAUAGGAGCUUUGCCUUCUUUUGCUGGUACUCCGGCCUGUAGGAUUCGCAAGAACUUCUUGCACCUGCAACAUCACCACUUGCUUCAUUGGAUCCAUAGAAUGUUGUUGAUGAGACACUGGAACUAUUGUUAUUGCCUUUAGCCCCAGCCUCUGCAUCAGCUUCAGAUAUCCUCCGACCCUCCUCACCAGCUUUUGUAAGUUUUGAACCUGAUGCACUACAGAACUCAUUUAACAGCAGUUGCGCUGGCUUUAAGAAUUUAGAACUCGUUAGAAUUGUUGCAUAUCCAGUAAAAGGCCCAAGAGGACCAGUAUUUCGAAGAACAUUAUAAUUAGACGCACCCACUGAAUCAUUAAGCGAUUUUCCACUACCUCUACUGAUAAUUGCUGCCGGCUUUGGCAUUGGACACAAAUAAUUUGACUUGAAAAAUUUUGAAUCUUGAUGAGGUUCUUUGAGAACAUUAGACUUUGAUUGCAAAUUUUCAGAUUCAUAUCCAUCUCCAAACUGAGUUACAUAACCUCUAGAUGGCGGAUUUGAUGAAAGAGACAGAGAUAGAACCUGAGUAUUGGGAUCACUUGCAAGAGUCCUCAACUCUUGGUCAUUCUUCCUUGCAAUAAGACCACCCAGUUCACUACUCCAUAGAUGGCAAUUGUCAACAGGCCUAUUCAUCCAACUAUUGGCAUUAUCAAAAUAUAAAGCAGUGGAUUGAUUGCCAUAUUCUGGAAGGAAAAUCCUUUCAUUCCCUCCAAUGGAAGCAGAUGGAGUAACAACAUCAACCAGUGUAUUCCGGUAGAGUGGAUGCACAUUGGAAGACAAUUGCAUCUCCCUAUUGAGCUUUUGGUUAUCAUGAGCAGGAAUAUCACUGGAGGGGUUGGCUAAGGAAGAUUGAACAGUUUGAUAUCCAUUAUAGUUAGGCUUCAAAGACCGUGUAGGUGUUGAAAUAUUGGUUACCCUUGCAUUAUUUGACAAGACAUCCCCAACAAAAAUAGGUUUAUGAUUGUUUUCCCUACCUACUGAUCCACUUGCAUAAUUCACCAUCCAGUCAUAACUCUGUUGUGAAUCAUUGCUUCUCCAGUUGCUAUACUCUUGUGGGUCACUGGCACUGGUUUGAGGUGAAGUAUUAAAGUUGGAAGAAAUUGGAUGAGACGUAUCGGCUAAUGGGGAAAUCCCCGGGAUAGGCCUACGCGUUUGUACUGCGACUAGUUCUUGAUCAAUCAUUGCAUCCCUUUGAGCUGGUAAAAUACUAUUAGAACUAGAUGCAAAAUUGAGCAUUUCAGAGGAAAACAUAGAAGUAGCAGUAGUAGUAGGGUCAUAAAGCACAUUGGCUUUCCUAACAUUUCGAACCUGAACAAGCUCUGGGUUUAGCCCAGAAUGGACCGACAACUGUUCCAAAUUGUUAGGGAAGUCAUCUAAAUGCGGAACUGAAGUUGAACUCGCUUGAACUCUCAGCUUAUCUCUCCUGCUUUGUUGUGCCACAUGUGAUUCACCCGGCCUGAAACUGCUAAUGUCCAUCUAACACAAGGCACCACCACCUGUUAAGCUAUACUCUUGGAAUUCAACUAUUAUCCUGACUGGAAUCUCCCAAAUAAUCUCAUCAGACAACUCAAGCCCUUUCGGAGGUUUAACUCGCUAGAAGUUCAAGAAAUUGAGAGAGAGAAUCCAAGCUGGUCCUGACAUUUCAUUAGCUUCCUUGUCUGAGAUAUACUAAAAAAAUUGUUGGCUUUUGUCGAUUAAACUCUCUGGCGGCUUCACCCACCAAAGCAAAAGAGCGUGCAAAAAUCUUCCACUGCUUGGUACAGAUGUAUAUGAACCAAGUCAAGCAUUCGCCAAACAAAAAGAAAGGUUAAAAACAUAGCACUGUCACCAUAACCGAUAACUCUUUUCCUGCAUAUAUAUAAUAUAACACCUGUACUGCAAUUAUACUUCACGUACUGUUAACCCUAGCUCGUAAGAAUCCACCAUGAAACCUCCUUUAAAGAAAUCUAUUGUUAGUUGGACCCAAAUCUUGAAAUCGACCCAAUAGACCCGAGACGGGUAAAAUUCGCCGGGAGGUUCCGGUGAAGUUUCGGUGAAAGCUCUUUUUUUUUCAACUU